Molecule: long non-coding RNA, 204 nt
Filed under: Lathyrus oleraceus (garden pea)
Lineage: Eukaryota; Viridiplantae; Streptophyta; Magnoliopsida; Fabales; Fabaceae
Description: Pisum sativum (pea) long non-coding RNA (PSAT_LNC017633)
Source: RNAcentral
AUAUGUCCAAAGUCUAUCAAUUGUUAUCUCUAUUCAUAUUUUCAAAAUUAUAAUUUGAAUCUAUCAAACAAAUCCCUAAUUACUAUUUUAAAAAUUAAAAAAACAGUUUUACAAAACAAAACUAAAUAGACCUAAAUUCUAUUAUAAUUUAGUUUUAGAAAAAUAAAAGAACAAAGAAUAAAGGCAUCAUAAAAAAUAUUUGAA